CUUUCCCUCUGGCGGUAGGUCUAACACAUGCAAGUCGAACGGCAGCACAGUAAGAGCUUGCUCUUACGGGUGGCGAGUGGCGGACGGGUGAGGAAUACAUCGGAAUCUACUUUUUCGUGGGGGAUAACGUAGGGAAACUUACGCUAAUACCGCAUACGACCUACGGGUGAAAGCAGGGGAUCUUCGGACCUUGCGCGAUUGAAUGAGCCGAUGUCGGAUUAGCUAGUUGGCGGGGUAAAGGCCCACCAAGGCGACGAUCCGUAGCUGGUCUGAGAGGAUGAUCAGCCACACUGGAACUGAGACACGGUCCAGACUCCUACGGGAGGCAGCAGUGGGGAAUAUUGGACAAUGGGCGCAAGCCUGAUCCAGCCAUACCGCGUGGGUGAAGAAGGCCUUCGGGUUGUAAAGCCCUUUUGUUGGGAAAGAAAAGCAGCAGGUUAAUACCCCGCUGUUCUGACGGUACCCAAAGAAUAAGCACCGGCUAACUUCGUG
Molecule: ribosomal RNA, 492 nt
Filed under: uncultured bacterium
Lineage: Bacteria
Description: partial 16S ribosomal RNA
Rfam family: Bacterial small subunit ribosomal RNA
Source: RNAcentral